ACGCUGGCGGCAGGCUUAACACAUGCAAGUCGAACGGUAGCAGGAGAAAGCUUGCCUUCUUGCUGACGAGUGGCGGACGGGUGAGUAAUGCUUGGGAAUCUGGCUUAUGGAGGGGGAUAACUACGGGAAACUAUAGCUAAUACCGCGUAGUAUCGGAAGAUGAAAGUGCGGGACCGUAAGGCCGCAUGCCAUGAGAUGAGCCCAAGUGGGAUUAGGUAGUUGGUGGGGUAAAGGCCUACCAAGCCUGCGAUCUCUAGCUGGUCUGAGAGGAUGGCCAGCCACACUGGAACUGAGACACGGUCCAGACUCCUACGGGAGGCAGCAGUGGGGAAUAUUGCGCAAUGGGGGGAACCCUGACGCAGCCAUGCCGCGUGAAUGAAGAAGGCCUUCGGGUUGUAAAGUUCUUUCGGUAUUGAGGAAGGAGUGUAUGUUAAUAGCAUACAUUAUUGACGUUAAAUACAGAAGAAGCACCGGCUAACUCCGUGCCAGCAGCCGCGGUAAUACGGAGGGUGCGAGCGUUAAUCGGAAUAACUGGGCGUAAAGGGCACGCAGGCGGUUAUUUAAGUGAGGUGUGAAAGCCCCGGGCUUAACCUGGGAAUUGCAUUUCAGACUGGGUAACUAGAGUACUUUAGGGAGGGGUAGAAUUCCACGUGUAGCGGUGAAAUGCGUAGAGAUGUGGAGGAAUACCGAAGGCGAAGGCAGCCCCUUGGGAAUGUACUGACGCUCAUGUGCGAAAGCGUGGGGAGCAAACAGGAUUAGAUACCCUGGUAGUCCACGCUGUAAACGCUGUCGAUUUGGGGAUUGGGCUUAAAGCUUGGUGCCCGUAGCUAACGUGAUAAAUCGACCGCCUGGGGAGUACGGCCGCAAGGUUAAAACUCAAAUGAAUUGACGGGGGCCCGCACAAGCGGUGGAGCAUG
Molecule: ribosomal RNA, 917 nt
Filed under: uncultured bacterium
Lineage: Bacteria
Description: bacterial SSU rRNA
Rfam family: Bacterial small subunit ribosomal RNA
Source: RNAcentral